GGGGGGAGGCCGGAUCCUGGGCUGUUGUGUCCCGGCGCCCUGUGCUCCGGAGCCUGCGCUGGUGGAUUCACGCUCCCGCCCCCUCCCCCCU
This 91-nucleotide microRNA precursor is filed under the name Canis lupus familiaris (dog). RNAcentral's name for it is "mir-8799 microRNA precursor family". It matches the Rfam family "mir-8799 microRNA precursor family". The record is from Rfam by way of RNAcentral. Lineage: Eukaryota; Metazoa; Chordata; Mammalia; Carnivora; Canidae.